GGCUCGCUGGAGCAGUGGGUGCUGUCGCCGCAGCCGCUGGCGCUGCUGGUGCUGGCCAAGGUGCUGGCGCACUGGAUCUUUUCCGGGCUGGCGC
This 94-nucleotide transfer RNA is filed under the name Pseudomonas putida. RNAcentral's name for it is "tRNA-Gln(ctg)". The record is from RNAcentral. Lineage: Bacteria; Pseudomonadati; Pseudomonadota; Gammaproteobacteria; Pseudomonadales; Pseudomonadaceae. RNAcentral also lists the same sequence under 1 other name.